GGGAUGAACGCUAGCGGCAGGCUUAAUACAUGCAAGUCGUGGGGCAGCAUGGUGUAGCAAUACACUGAUGGCGACCGGCAAACGGGUGCGGAACACGUACGCAACCUUCCUUUAACUGGAGAAUAGCCCGGGGAAACCCGGAUUAAUACUCCGUAACAUUAUGAAGUGGCAUCACUUUAUAAUUAUAGCUCCGGCGGUUGAAGAUGGGCGUGCGUCUGAUUAGGUAGUUGGCGGGGUAACGGCCCACCAAGGCGAAGAUCGGUA
This 264-nucleotide ribosomal RNA is filed under the name uncultured bacterium. RNAcentral's name for it is "partial small subunit ribosomal RNA". It matches the Rfam family "Bacterial small subunit ribosomal RNA", at positions 27 to 285 of the family's 1533-position model. The record is from RNAcentral.